This 433-nucleotide ribosomal RNA is filed under the name uncultured bacterium. RNAcentral describes it as "partial 16S ribosomal RNA". It matches the Rfam family "Bacterial small subunit ribosomal RNA", at positions 29 to 507 of the family's 1533-position model. The record is from RNAcentral.
AACGAACGCUGGCGGCAUGCCUAACACAUGCAAGUCGAACGAGACCUUCGGGUCUAGUGGCGCACGGGUGCGUAACGCGUGGGAACCUGCCCUUAGGUUCGGAAUAACUCCCCGAAAGGGGUGCUAAUACCGGAUAAUGUCUUCGGACCAAAGAUUUAUCGCCUUUGGAUGAGCCCGCGUUGGAUUAGCUAGUUGGUAGGGUAAAAGCCUACCAAGGCGACGAUCCAUAGCUGGUCUGAGAGGAUGAUCAGCCACACUGGGACUGAGACACGGCCCAGACUCCUACGGGAGGCAGCAGUGGGGAAUAUUGGACAAUGGGCGAAAGCCUGAUCCAGCAAUGCCGCGUGAGUGAUGAAGGCCUUAGGGUUGUAAAGCUCUUUUACCCGGGAUGAUAAUGACAGUACCGGGAGAAUAAGCCCCGGCUAACUCCGUG